Molecule: ribosomal RNA, 629 nt
Filed under: uncultured Alphaproteobacteria bacterium
Lineage: Bacteria; Pseudomonadati; Pseudomonadota; Alphaproteobacteria
Description: bacterial SSU rRNA
Rfam family: Bacterial small subunit ribosomal RNA
Source: RNAcentral
AGGAGUUUGAUCCUGGCUCAGAACGAACGCUGGCGGCAGGCCUCAAACAUGCAAGUCUAGGGGGUGUAGCAAUACAUCACCGGCGGACGGGUGCGUAACACGUGGGAAUAUACCUUUUGGUUCGGAACAACGCAGGGAAACUUGCGCUAAUACCGAAUGUGCCCUUACGGGGAAAGAUUUAUCGCCAAAGGAUUAGCCCGCGUAGGAUUAGCUAGUUGGUGAGGUAAUGGCUCACCAAGGCUCCGAUCCUUAGCUGUUCUGAGAGGAAGAUCAGCCACACUGGGACUGAGACACGGCCCAGACUCCUACGGGAGGCAGCAGUUGGGAAUCUUGGACAAUGGGGGAAACCCUGAUCCAGCCAUGCCGCGUGAGUGAUGAAGGCCUUCGGGUUGUAAAACUCUUUCGACGGGGACGAUAAUGACGGUACCCGUAGAAGAAGCUCCGGCUAACUUCGUGCCAGCAGCCGCGGUAAUACGAAGGGGGCUAGCGUUGUUCGGAAUUACUGGGCGUAAAGCGCGCGCAGGCGGUCUUCCAAGUCAGUGGUGAAAGCCCGGAGCUCAACUCCGGAACUGCCAUUGAAACUGUAAGACUUGAGGACGAGAGAGGUGAGUGGAAUUCCCAGUGUAGAG